ACAGAGUGAGACAUCUUCUCUAGAAAGUAUCGUUUUGGGCCACUAGAGAGUGCUCUCGCAUAUAGACAAGCUUUGUCGUUUUUCUCUCCGUGAAAAGCAGGUUGGUCUCACGGCAGAAACGAAACGGGAAAACCCUCAUAAACACGCUGAAAGUUGCUCUAAACGCGUGUUUCUCGGGAAAUUAUCGUCUUUAUACCACAUAUUUUUUUUUACAAGAAAGCUUCAUAAAGCAAGAAAAGUUUUCUUCAUUGGUUCGCUGGCUGUGUAGCAGCAUACAGACACGUAUUGUGAGGGCAGCAUAAGCAUGGUUUAUGAUUUAAUAUAUCUUUGAAAAAUUUACAGUGUAUAUAAAACUGCCAAUGCAUGGAGGGAGAUGACCACAUACAACCCCAUUGGAAAUCCAUUGGAUUGUAGCUGCUCUGCUAAAUGGUGUAUUACUUGAUACAAAUCUGCCAGAUUUCGCUUACCUCCCACGAGGAACAUCGAUGUCAUCUUUCCUCCAGCGCACGUUGGGCUGAGGGUCUCCUUGUACCUGGCAGCGGAACUCCACCAUCUCAUCCUCCAGCACCACCUGGUUGAUGGGCCUGCGGAGGAAGUAGAUGGUAGGUUCGGGGUGGCCUCUGGGAGGGACACACUCCAAGAUGGCUGGUUCUCCCGCCGCCACCACCACAUCUGUGGGGUUCUGUCGGAAAUCGUCUCGCAGCACUGAAGAGAAGACAGAAAAACAGUUUUUAACAAUCUGGAUUACUUAAAGCCCAAGCGAAUGGAGGUGUGAUAUUGGCUGCUGUAAAGUGAGAGGGACGCCAAGCGAGGUUAGCAAAACCGCUGGCAUGAAUCAGAACGAGGCAUGCAUCAACAAAGUGGAGACUGUGGAGUUUGAUACUGCAGCAUCCAGAGUUAAGAUACAUCAACGGGAUGAGAUCAUGACGUUGCAUGGAAAUCUGGAUUGUUAAGAGACUUCUAGUCCAUAAUUGAUUAGAAGCUCACAGAGUUGAAGUGAAUACUGGAUACGGAAUACGGGAGCAAGUGAAGUGCUGGCGGAGAAGUGGAUUUACGUGGAAAUAGCCCACAGGACGCUGGCCUCAUCUUUCUCAGCCUUCGCUUUGCUGGGGCAUCACUGCGGCCUGGAGAGUCAUUCUCUCCGAUGGCCACAUGGCAAUUUUCACCACGAAGAAAGGGAAACAAGCACAUAUAAACGCACUCAAAUCUUUUUUUGCUCUGUCGGGCACAUCUGCUUCUGUGCUGGUUAUUAGCACACACUUAAAAUACAUGUCCAAAAAUAAGCCAUCUGCAGAUGAUCAAAGUCUCUCUGCUGUGGUUAAAACAAAGCCCAGAUCCAACGGGAACGAGAGGCACAAAAAAAAAAAAAAAACUGAGGUGAAAGACAGGAGGAGGAACGGCUGCCAAAACAUAAAAAAAAAAUGCAAUGGAAAAAAAAAAUUCCACAGUUCAUAAAAGCCAAAAAAGCAGAAAAUGGAGUAUUUACACAGAAGUCAUUAACAGAGAAACAGCGGCAAUAAAAAGGGAAUUUGAGGGUACUUAUUCCUCAUUUGUUUUCUCGACUUCGCCAUGCAUCCCCGUCUCCAUCUCCUUCCACUCUAAUAGAAUAUAUUUAGCAUAUUAACGCACGCGUAAAUGCCCGCGGCUGUGCAAAGGUCACAGGUGAGAAAAUGCAUAAGGAUGAGGCCAGGCUCUGUAAUAACUGCUGGAAUACACAUUACUGCUUCAACACUCCAUCGAUAUUUGCUUGCCGGACAAAUAAAGUAAAACGAGAUAAGAAAAAGGUAUAUUGUAUAUAACAUAACACACCUGAACGUCUGCAAAUCAAUGAUUGUAGCCCGGGUGCUAAUGUGUAAUCAUCACAGCAUGCUAAGGUGAAUUUAGUAGUCCAUAAAAUAAGUAGAAACACAAGAAGAUGUGGACCCCCACUAGUUUUCAAUAUGUCUAUGCACUAUAGAAACAACCAUCCUUCCUUUAUUCGUGCUAAUAAUGUCAUCACUACUUCUAAAUUGAAGAAAGAGAUAACAUUUUUGGCCUAUGUUGACAUCUAAACAAACUAAAUUGAAAAAUGAUCCAUAAAGUGUCAUCUCUAAGGUAGAUGGCUGUCAAUUAUACUCUGGGUUCCUGGGUGGGCUGCAAAUGGAAAACGCAAGGACAGCACAAUAAGCCAAAUGACACCAUAAUAUAAUAUAAUAUAAUAUAAUAUAAUAUAAUAUAAUAUAAUAUAAUAUAAUAUAAUAUAAUAUAAUAUAAUAUAA
Molecule: non-coding RNA, 2258 nt
Organism: Doryrhamphus excisus (bluestripe pipefish)
Lineage: Eukaryota; Metazoa; Chordata; Actinopteri; Syngnathiformes; Syngnathidae
Source: RefSeq, a predicted model, not a curated record